GAUGAACGCUGGCGGCGUGCUUAACACUUGCAAGUCGAACGGAAAGGCCCAAGCUUGCUUGGGUACUCGAGUGGCGAACGGGUGAGUAACACGUGGGUGAUCUGCCCUGCACUUCGGGAUAAGCCUGGGAAACUGGGUCUAAUACCGGAUAGGACCACUUCUUGGAUGUUGUGGUGGAAAGUUUUUUCGGUGUGGGAUGAGCUCGCGGCCUAUCAGCUUGUUGGUGGGGUAAUGGCCUACCAAGGCGUCGACGGGUAGCCGGCCUGAGAGGGUGUACGGCCACAUUGGGACUGAGAUACGGCCCAGACUCCUACGGGAGGCAGCAGUGGGGAAUAUUGCACAAUGGGCGCAAGCCUGAUGCAGCGACGCCGCGUGGGGGAUGACGGCCUUCGGGUUGUAAACUCCUUUCGCUAGGGACGAAGCGUUUUUGUGACGGUACCUGGAGAAGAAGCACCGGCUAACUACGUG
Molecule: ribosomal RNA, 468 nt
Filed under: uncultured bacterium
Lineage: Bacteria
Description: partial 16S ribosomal RNA
Rfam family: Bacterial small subunit ribosomal RNA
Source: RNAcentral